CGGGGUAUAGCGCAGGUGGUAGCGCGCGUGCUUCGGGAGCAUGAGGUCGCAGGUUCGAGUCCUGUUACCCCGACCA
This 76-nucleotide transfer RNA is filed under the name Clostridiales bacterium oral taxon 876 str. F0540. Its description in RNAcentral is "tRNA-Pro". It matches the Rfam family "tRNA". Rfam says of the family: Transfer RNA (tRNA) molecules are approximately 80 nucleotides in length. Their secondary structure includes four short double-helical elements and three loops (D, anti-codon, and T loops). The record is from RNAcentral. Lineage: Bacteria; Bacillati; Bacillota; Clostridia; Eubacteriales.